This 76-nucleotide transfer RNA is filed under the name Virus Rctr197k. Its description in RNAcentral is "tRNA-Glu". It matches the Rfam family "tRNA". Rfam says of the family: Transfer RNA (tRNA) molecules are approximately 80 nucleotides in length. Their secondary structure includes four short double-helical elements and three loops (D, anti-codon, and T loops). The record is from RNAcentral. Lineage: Duplodnaviria; Heunggongvirae; Uroviricota; Caudoviricetes.
UGUCCCUAUCGUCUAGCUGGCCAAGGACACGGCCCUCUCAAGGCCGCGACGUGGGUUCGAAUCCCGCUAGGGACGU